AGAGUUGAUCCUGGCUCAGGAUGAACGCUAGCGACAGGCUAACACAUGCAAGUCGAGGGCAGCAUAAAAGUAGCAAUACUUGGUGGCGACCGGCGCACGGGUGAGUAACGCGUAUGCAACCUACCUAUCAGAGGGGAAUAACCCGGCGAAAGUCGGACUAAUACCGCAUAAAACAGGGGCACCGCAUGGUGAUAUUGUUAAAGAAAUUCGCUGAUGGAUGGGCAUGCGUUCCAUUAGGUAGUUGGUGAGGUAACGGCUCACCAAGCCGACGAUGGAUAGGGGAACUGAGAGGUUGGUCCCCCACACUGGUACUGAGACACGGACCAGACUCCUACGGGAGGCAGCAGUGAGGAAUAUUGGUCAAUGGGCGGGAGCCUGAACCAGCCAAGUCGACCGUGAAGGAAGAAGGAUCUAUGGUUCGUAAACUUCUUUUGCAGGGGAAUAAAGUGCAGGACGUGUCCUGUUUUGUAUGUACCCUGAGAAUAAGGAUCGGCUAACUCCGUGCCAGCCGCCGC
This 515-nucleotide ribosomal RNA is filed under the name uncultured bacterium. RNAcentral's name for it is "bacterial SSU rRNA". It matches the Rfam family "Bacterial small subunit ribosomal RNA", at positions 8 to 518 of the family's 1533-position model. The record is from RNAcentral.